This is a long non-coding RNA of Polypterus senegalus (gray bichir), 286 nucleotides long. RefSeq lists it as uncharacterized. Lineage: Eukaryota; Metazoa; Chordata; Cladistia; Polypteriformes; Polypteridae. The transcript is spliced from 3 exons. The record is from RefSeq and is a predicted model, not a curated record.
ACUGGAGAAGGACAUUGAGGAGCUGAAGAGAAGAGAAGCAGAACUGAAGGAGCUUUCAGAGACCGAGCACAAUCUCCACUUUCUACAGACUUUCUCAUCCCGCUGUGUCCUUCCUGCUGAUGGAGACUUGCUGAGCUUCACUGUCACUGCUGAAUUCUCUUCUGAGGGCCUGAGAAAGGAGCUGUCAGGUCUGAAAAAAAGUCUGGAGAAGAUCAGCCAGGGGGACAUCAUAACAAGGACUCCAUCAGCUCAUGAAGCUCCAGUUUUCACCCUCCAGCCUCCUGAA